This 424-nucleotide long non-coding RNA is filed under the name Mytilus galloprovincialis (Mediterranean mussel). The record is from RNAcentral. Lineage: Eukaryota; Metazoa; Mollusca; Bivalvia; Mytilida; Mytilidae.
UUUAAAUUAUACAUCUUCAGAAAUAAGUUUGUGUUUAUUACAGUUUUAAAUUAGACAAGCAUCUUUUCUACCUUUUGAAUAAAAAUUGACAGCUUAGACAGCACAUUACUAUUACUAUAUUUAAGCAUACCAAGUACUUUUUUUUUCAUUUGGAUAUUUUAAAUAAUAUGGAAGUAUGAACUUCCCCCUUAAAUCCUUAACUUCACAAUUGGUACAUUUACAUAUAUAGUGGUAUACAUCCCCAAGACCAGCUUUACAAAGAGGACAAAUUCUCUCAUUUCGUGGUACAUUUCUCCAUCUUCCUGUUUCGAUGGGAAACUUUGUAUUACAUACCCUUAAUUUACAUAUGUUUACUCUAUGACCCCGCCUUAAUUUUAACAGAUAUGGUUCUAAGCAAAACUCUUCUUUAAAGUGUAGAUAAAAU